GACGAACGCUGGCGGCGUGCCUAAUACAUGCCCGUCGACCUUAGUGGCGAACGGGUGCGUAACCCGUGGGUAACCUGCCCAUCAGAAGGGGAUAACACUUGGAAACAGGUUCUAAUACCGUAUACUGAUGGAUGGACCCGCGGUGCAUUAGCUAGUUGGUGAGGUAACGGCUCACCAUGGCCACGAUGCAUAGCCGACCGGGGAGGGUGGUCGGCCAAAUUGGGACGGAGACACGGCCCAAACGCCAACGGGAGGAAGCAGUAGGGAAUCUUAGGCAAUGGACGAAAGUCUGAACGAGCAACGCCGCGUGAGUGAAGAAGGUUUUCGGAUCGUAAAACUCUGUUGUUAGAGAAGCGGUAUCUAACCAGAAAGCCACGGCUAACUACGUGCCAGCAGCCGCGGUAAUAC
RNAcentral lists this ribosomal RNA (408 nucleotides) under uncultured bacterium. RNAcentral describes it as "partial 16S ribosomal RNA". It matches the Rfam family "Bacterial small subunit ribosomal RNA", at positions 28 to 526 of the family's 1533-position model. The record is from RNAcentral.